Molecule: ribosomal RNA, 253 nt
Filed under: uncultured bacterium
Lineage: Bacteria
Description: partial 16S ribosomal RNA
Rfam family: Bacterial small subunit ribosomal RNA
Source: RNAcentral
UACGUAGGGGGCUAGCGUUGUCCGGAAUCAUUGGGCGUAAAGCGCGUGUAGGCGGUUCGGUAAGUCCGCUGUGAAAGUCGGGGGCUCAACCCUCGAAUGCCGGUGGAUACUGUCGGACUAGAGUACGGAAGAGGCGAGUGGAAUUCCUGGUGUAGCGGUGGAAUGCGCAGAUAUCAGGAGGAACACCAAUAGCGAAGGCAGCUCGCUGGGACGAUACUGACGCUAAGGCGCGAAAGCGUGGGGAGCGAACAGG